Non-coding RNA from Corylus avellana, 2215 nucleotides. The record is from RefSeq and is a predicted model, not a curated record. NCBI's taxonomy places the organism in Eukaryota, Viridiplantae, Streptophyta, Magnoliopsida, Fagales, Betulaceae.
GAGAAUUUUUGAUUUAUCUGAUUACAUAUGCAGAAACAAUUGAAGCACUAAGUUAACAAGUUGGGAAUUGGAUCUUACAAUUGCUCGUUCCACGUUUGAGUUCUUUACAUAUGAGAUGAAAAAACUGCACCAAGGAUCGAUGUGACUUCUAUUUCUCUUUGCCCCUGGUUUCCAUGCUUCCACUUCCACUUCCACUUGCCUUGGAAUUUGUGACCCUCAACUCGCUCUGUACUCAAAAAGUCUAAUUUCACAACAGAGGCCAAGAAGGGAGCUCUAAAGUGAAGCUUUUUUUUUCUUCUUAAAGGAAAUCCUGGGAAAGAGGUAGAUCUGGAAGUGUUGAUCCCUCAAGCAUCAUUUGGGAAGCAACAGGGGCUUUGAAUAUAUUAAAACAGAGCUUUGAAUACUAACAUAGAGUCUACAUAGCCCUUUCAACAUCCCACUGCGCUUGUACAUUUGCGAAUUACCUGUAUGUGGGGAAGUUAUCAGCAAUGAGGAUGAAGCUAGAGGGCGCACAAUGCUUUGGACCUACAAGACUUCGUCUUCUUCGUCUAUACAUAGAAAAUGUUGCAAACUUGGUGUCUCUCCCAAGGGAGCUUAGACAUGCUACCACUUUGCAAUGGCUUGACAUUAAGGACUGCCCUACACUCAAGUCCUUACCAGAGUGGAUAGGUGACCUCACUUUGCUACAGAUGCUUCAGAUCCUCAAUUGUCCAAAUUUAAUAUCAGUGCCCGAAGGGAUGCAUCGCCUCAUCUCUCUACGUAAUUUGAAAAUUGUGAGAUGUCCUCGCUUAGAGGAAAGAUGUGAAGAAGGAAUAGGUGAGGAUUGGCCAAAAAUCGCUCACAUCCCAAACUUUCCGAUUCGGCAGUUGUACUACUAAAACGAAUCGGUUUCAAUCUCUACCUAAUGCACCAAUUAUUCUUCAGAAUCAAUAGACGCUACUUCAGACCUUGCUGACAGUAAACUUUGGACAAAGCUCCCACAUCUUCGAUCGAACCAAUUGAAGCACUAUUUAAGAUUUGGAGCCAAUUCUAAACUUGUUCACUCUGCAACAAUGCAAUAAGUUGAGAAGCUGGGAAUUAGGUAUAUCAAUGUUAUGGUUGGAAACCAAAUUUGGCAACUAUGGACCUAUGGUACUCUUGGACUAGCAUCUAAAGCACUGGGCUUGUAAUGAUUUCUCAAAGAUCAUAAGGAUUUGAAAGUUGAAGUGGUAGGAUGCUUGUCAGUGGGAGGAUCUUAAGGUUCUUGUGAAGAGGGUGCUUAUACAUGUUAUUUGCUGAAAUAGGACUCAUGCUUUUAUAUCAUUCUCUAUUCAUCUUUCUUUCAAGUUUUGGACUUUGGUUUCCAUUCCUCUCUGCCCCAUGCCCCCAUGGUUCUACUUCCUCUUGGAACUUGGCUCGAGAUUGUGCCUUUUCUACUCAACUUGCUCCCUGGUUGAAAAUGUCUCAAUUUGGCAACAGAGGCCCAGAGAGCUCUAAAGGGAAGCUAUUUUUUCCCCCUACAGGAAACCUUGGGGAAGAGCCAGAGGUUCAAGGAGUGCCCCCCCUCAAGAGUCGAUUGGGCAAUGAAGCAUUCCAUCAUGUCCCAUUCUAAUGGGUGUUCCAAUUGGCAUUCCAAGGAAGACUUCCAGAGUGGUUCAUUCGAAGUGGUGUUCCAAGCAGCGUUCAAACGCUUUGUUCUAUUCAUCGAUCCAAUAUCUAUUCGAACGGAAGAAAACCCGAGGACCUCAUUCCAAAGACCAUUCAGACAAGCCACUCAAAGAAAACCUUGUUCUUAAGGUUUAACCUAUUACUGUUCGAACGGACCAUUUACCUGUUCAAACAGAAUCCCGAUCCAUAAUAUUCUGGAUUCAGAUCUCUUUCUUGCUGCUCAAGUUUCUCAAGUCUAUUUAAAGAGAUCUCUUGUAAGUUAUUUGUAACAACUUUAGGUUAUAGAACCUUGCUCUAGGAGUGGUUAGAAAUUGUGUUUAUAGUAUUUUCUGUCUCCUAGAUUAAAGUUGUGCAUCACACAAGUCCAUAUAUCUCGUAAAGCCUGAAGCCUAUCGGAGUUCCGAUACAUAUAAGAUCAAGUAGAAGAAAUUUCCAAAUGCUUUGAGGAGCUACUAUGGUACUUAGAUUAGUGGGUUGCUUAUCCAAAGCAAGAGAGUAUCAACUACAAAUGUUUUGUAAAAGUGAACUUCUUGUAACUCUAUUUCUUUUAUAGUGGAUUGAUUUUCUG